This 1240-nucleotide long non-coding RNA is filed under the name Spirodela polyrhiza (greater duckweed). Its description in RNAcentral is "long non-coding RNA (SPOL_LNC001291)". The record is from RNAcentral. Lineage: Eukaryota; Viridiplantae; Streptophyta; Magnoliopsida; Alismatales; Araceae.
AAUUUAUUAUUAGAUCAUCUCGAGUUGAAGUUGGGCCAAUUGUAUCUUCACAAAUCUUGAGCCUUGGCCUACUUGAAUAUGAUUGAAAUUGGACUGGAUCGGCUGAAAAAAUGCCUUGACGCUUCUUGAUCUUCCAAUAUACUUGAAUCCAGUGAAGUGUGAAAAUUAUGAUUGAGGCAUUAUAAUUCCCCUAAAUAUCUGUUUUUGACCACCUGGGUCAAAAAUCAUUCUUUGUUCUGUUCACGGCAUCUUCAGGGCUACAUCGAGAGCUACCUGGAGGAAAUACUCUCCAAUGUCCGGUCCCCAUUCUCUAUUUAUAUUGUUUUGUAAUCCUCCGUUGAGUGUCACCCAGGACUAACAAAUCAACUUUUUUACUAUUUGGCAAGCAUGCCAAACCAAGAUCCAAGUUAAACCGUUGACCCAACUUGAUUUGAACAUACAGUAGACAGUUUUCUCCUAUUUAGUGACCAAGAGAUCACUUCCAACCCCAACAUGCUCAUUUUCUGGUCCAGAUUCCUAUUAUGUUGGGUCUGCCCUCUUCUUCUGAGCUUGAUGGACGUAUAUAAAAUUAGUAAUGCUUAUGUAAUUUAGUUUAUCCGAGUGUUUGAAAGGUAGAAUAGGGUCUAUGUCUUCAAGUUUGAAAGGUAGAAUAGGGUCUAUGUCGUCAAGUACAGGUUUCGUGGAAGACAAUAAUUGCUCUUCUGCUUAACGUAACCAGUGUCUCAACAACAUAGCAUUUUGUGGAAAUGCUGAUUAGUCAAACUGAAAGGAGCCUAACAUCACGAAGGCCCGUAUUUUAACUCUUUAUCAGAUGUUCCUGCAUCUAUGUCGAGUGAAAAAUAAAUAAUUUGGAGUAACCUCGCGGGAUGUGCAAAUUGGAUGUGGAUGUGCUGAUAGGGAGAGGCUGAACUUGGGCGUAUUAGAGAAUUUGACUAUUUAAUUCUGCUCAUCAGCAUAUGCAGUUGAUUGUAAUUUUUCAAAUAUUUAACAUGAUACAUUUCUUGAGGAGAUUCUCAUCUUCUAUGCUUAUUCAGGAGAUUUGGUUUGUAAUAUACUCGUUUGUCUUUUCCUCUGUAGAUAAUUGCGCCUCUGAAAAUAUCCUUGUAUUCUAGAAAAUUUUUAGAGUUAGAAGAUGCUUGAAUAAGCACAAUUUUGACAUGAAAUGAUCUUUCUUUAGAGCACAGGUUUUGAAUGCUAUGACUUUAUCAAUGUUGCCUGCUUUUAGAUUGUAGCAUGUGCA